UACGUAGGGUGCAAGCGUUGUCCGGAAUUAUUGGGCGUAAAGAGCUCGUAGGCGGUCUGUCGCGUCGGGUGUGAAAGCCCCGGGCUCAACCUGGGAAUUGCAUUCGAUACUGGAUAACUAGAGUUCGGCAGAGGGAAGCGGAAUUUCCGGUGUAGCGGUGAAAUGCGUAGAUAUCGGAAGGAACAUCAGUGGCGAAAGCGGCUUCCUGGACCAGAACUGACGAUCAGGCUCGAAAGCGUGGGGAGCAAACAGGG
Molecule: ribosomal RNA, 254 nt
Filed under: uncultured bacterium
Lineage: Bacteria
Description: partial 16S ribosomal RNA
Rfam family: Bacterial small subunit ribosomal RNA
Source: RNAcentral